RNAcentral lists this ribosomal RNA (253 nucleotides) under uncultured bacterium. RNAcentral's name for it is "partial 16S ribosomal RNA". It matches the Rfam family "Bacterial small subunit ribosomal RNA", at positions 524 to 776 of the family's 1533-position model. The record is from RNAcentral.
UACGUAGGGCGCAAGCGUUAUCCGGAUUUAUUGGGCGUAAAGAGCUCGUAGGCGGUUUGUCGCGUCUGCCGUGAAAGUCCGGGGCUUAACCCCGGAUCUGCGGUGGGUACGGGCAGACUAGAGUGCAGUAGGGGAGACUGGAAUUCCUGGUGUAGCGGUGAAAUGCGCAGAUAUCAGGAGGAACACCGAUGGCGAAGGCAGGUCUCUGGGCUGUAACUGACGCUGAGGAGCGAAAGCAUGGGGAGCGAACAGG